Dreissena polymorpha is the source of this 1593-nucleotide long non-coding RNA. RefSeq lists it as uncharacterized. NCBI's taxonomy places the organism in Eukaryota, Metazoa, Mollusca, Bivalvia, Myida, Dreissenidae. The transcript has 3 exons. The record is from RefSeq and is a predicted model, not a curated record.
AACUGUUCCAAUAAUUUCAAGAACCUUUUUAGAACAUUUCAAGGACAAAAUAUGGUCAAGAAAUUUCUAAAAAUGUUUUAAAAUGUAGUUCUUGAACACAUCUAGAACGCUUUAAGAACCAGUAAGUUCUACAAAAGUUCUAAUGGGGAAUAAGAACAUAAUAGAACACCUUACACUUACAAAUAGCCAAAUAGACUUCAUAGUAGCGACAGCAGCAGCAGCAGUAGUAGUAGUUGUUGUAGAUGUAGUAUCUGUAUUAGUAGUAGUAGUUGUUGUUGUUGUAGUAGUAGGUGUUGUUGUUGUAGUAAUUGAUGUAGUAGCAGUAGUGUUUUUUAUAUCAGUAGAGGUUGUGGUGGUAGUAGUAGUAGUAGAAGUAGUAGCAUUAACAAGUUCUGUAGCAAUAGUAGUAGCAAUAGAAGUAGCAGUAGUAGCAGUUGUUGCAAUAGUAGCAGUUGUUGCUGCUGUUGCUGCUGCUGUUGCUGCUGCUGUUGCUGCUGUUCUUGUUGCUGCUGUUGUGUUGCUGCUGUUGCUGUUGUUGUUGCUGCUGUUAUUGUUGCUGUUGUUGGUGGUGGUGUUGUUGUUGGUGGUGUUGUUGAUGCUGUAGUAAUUAAAGUAGUAGUUCUGCAGAAGUAGGAGUAGUUGUUACUUUCAAAGCAAUUUCUACAAGUUUAAAUUCCUUAACCCUGUCCAAGUGGUAUACACACUGUUUUUUCUCAAUAUCAAACUCAGCCAGUCCAGGUUGUCAAAUAACAAUCUAUCUGAUAACCCCAGCGUGUGCUUUGCAUCAGAUGUUGGGUAUGUUUGCUGCAAAUCUAUUGGUUAUAAGAUAUAACAGCCUUUUCUAAUUGGCUGAAUUCAAAUACAGAAAGUUUACCUGUUAGAUUGAAACAUGAAACAUGGUGGACAAUGUACUGGUUUAACUUGUUAAAAUAAAGUUAAAGAAAUUUAACAAACCGAAGAGUUCAUGAGUUUUUCCAUUAAAAACACUUUCUUAAAAUACUUAUGUAUUUAUAUCAUUUGGAAAGUGACAUGAAAUAUUGCUAAAGAGUGAUGCAUACAUUGUUUGAGCAGUCUGUCUAGGAAUAGAACAACAACUGAAGUUGAUGGAAGAUACUGCAGAGUUUGGCAGGGAAAUAAUCCAACAGCAAAGCGGCUCUUUAAGCGCAUUUACCUAGAGGACUUACAGGGCCACAAAUUCAUGAGCACACGUACCUCAUACCAAAAAGGACCCGGAGGCAGUGACUGGUGAUCAAUAUUCUCAGAAGAAGAGGAAAAUGGAAGUGGAAGACUUGGACAAACAUUUUUAAAAACUAGCCUCUGUGUUAAGCCUGGCAGUCUGUGGCUGGUGACAUGUUUUAUUUUGGUUACUUCUUGUAUAAAAAAGACCAGUUAUUUAUUUUGUGAAUUGUAUUUUGUGUUUGUUUUUUGUCUUAAUUUAUUUGUUUUUUUUUUAUUUAGGAAUUUGGAUAAUUGAAUAAAGUCUGUGUUUAAUAGUACUGAGCAUAGUAUAAUAAAUAACAAAUUUACAACAGUUGUUAAUUUGUUAUGUAUUAUUAUUAACUAUGCCCAGUACUUGAAUACUGGCUGUCUGCA